RNAcentral lists this ribosomal RNA (468 nucleotides) under uncultured bacterium. Its description in RNAcentral is "partial 16S ribosomal RNA". It matches the Rfam family "Bacterial small subunit ribosomal RNA", at positions 28 to 507 of the family's 1533-position model. The record is from RNAcentral.
GACGAACGCUGGCGGCGUGCUUAACACAUGCAAGUCGAACGGAAAGGCCCUGCUUUUGUGGGGUGCUCGAGUGGCGAACGGGUGAGUAACACGUGAGUAACCUGCCCUUGACUUUGGGAUAACUUCAGGAAACUGGGGCUAAUACCGGAUAGGAGCUCCUGCUGCAUGGUGGGGGUUGGAAAGUUUCGGCGGUUGGGGAUGGACUCGCGGCUUAUCAGCUUGUUGGUGGGGUAGUGGCUUACCAAGGCUUUGACGGGUAGCCGGCCUGAGAGGGUGACCGGCCACAUUGGGACUGAGAUACGGCCCAGACUCCUACGGGAGGCAGCAGUGGGGAAUAUUGCACAAUGGGCGGAAGCCUGAUGCAGCAACGCCGCGUGCGGGAUGACGGCCUUCGGGUUGUAAACCGCUUUCGCCUGUGGCGAAGCGUGAGUAACGGUAAUGGGUAAAGAAGCACCGGCUAACUACGUG